ACAGUGGUGGUUCAGUGAUAGAAUUCUCACUUUUCCAUGUGGGAGACUUAGGUUCAAUUCCCAGCCAAGGUA
RNAcentral lists this transfer RNA (72 nucleotides) under Loxodonta africana (African savanna elephant). It matches the Rfam family "tRNA". From Rfam's summary of the family: Transfer RNA (tRNA) molecules are approximately 80 nucleotides in length. Their secondary structure includes four short double-helical elements and three loops (D, anti-codon, and T loops). Further hydrogen bonds mediate the characteristic L-shaped molecular structure. tRNAs have two regions of fundamental functional importance: the anti-codon, which is responsible for specific mRNA codon recognition, and the 3' end, to which the tRNAs corresponding amino acid is attached (by aminoacyl-tRNA synthetases). tRNAs cope with the degeneracy of the genetic code in two manners: having more than one tRNA (with a specific anti-codon) for a particular amino acid; and 'wobble' base-pairing, i.e. permitting non-standard base-pairing at the 3rd anti-codon position. The record is from Rfam by way of RNAcentral. Lineage: Eukaryota; Metazoa; Chordata; Mammalia; Proboscidea; Elephantidae.